Long non-coding RNA from Mobula hypostoma (lesser devil ray), 286 nucleotides. RefSeq lists it as uncharacterized. The record is from RefSeq and is a predicted model, not a curated record. NCBI's taxonomy places the organism in Eukaryota, Metazoa, Chordata, Chondrichthyes, Myliobatiformes, Myliobatidae. The transcript has 3 exons.
GCUUGCUUCAGCAAAGAUGCCUUUGAAAAGAACCAUGUGUGGGCAGAUAAUAUUUUCCACGCAUCCCAAGUUGUCCAGGUGUGUUUCACACACCACCAAUUGCAGAUGUGGGCAUUGCUGCAAGACCAUAAAGACACCAUUCCUAAUUGCCCUUAAAAUGGAGCUGGCAAGCCACCUUCACAAACUAUUGCAGUCCUUCUGGUGAUAGUACUCUCGGAAUCUAGCUGGAGUUACCAGUGUCUGGAGCAGAUACCAGAGGGGUCAAGUGCAGACUUCAAUGAAGAAU